CCUACGGGGGGCAGCAGUGAGGAAUAUUGGUCAAUGGCCGGAAGGCUGAACCAGCCAUGCCGCGUGAAGGUCAGUGCCCUAUGGGCGUUAAACUUCUUUUGUGCGGGAGCAAUAAUGGUCACGUGUGGCCAGACGAGAGUACCGUACGAAUAAGCAUCGGCUAACUCCGUGCCAGCAGCCGCGGUAAUACGGGGGAUGCAAGCGUUAUCCGGAUUUAUUGGGUUUAAAGGGUGCGUAGGCUGUGAGGUAAGUCAGCGGUGAAAUGCCCCCGCUCAACGGGGUGAAGUGCCAUUGAUACUGCCUGGCUGGAAUGCGGAUGCCGUGGGAGGAAUGUGUGGUGUAGCGGUGAAAUGCAUAGAUAUCACACAGAACACCGAUUGCGAAGGCAUCUCACGAAGCCGCGAUUGACGCUGAUGCACGAAAGCGUGGGUAUCAAACAGGAUUAGAUACCCGUGUAGUC
This 460-nucleotide ribosomal RNA is filed under the name uncultured bacterium. RNAcentral describes it as "partial 16S ribosomal RNA". It matches the Rfam family "Bacterial small subunit ribosomal RNA", at positions 338 to 795 of the family's 1533-position model. The record is from RNAcentral.